This 72-nucleotide transfer RNA is filed under the name Camelus bactrianus (Bactrian camel). It matches the Rfam family "tRNA". From Rfam's summary of the family: Transfer RNA (tRNA) molecules are approximately 80 nucleotides in length. Lineage: Eukaryota; Metazoa; Chordata; Mammalia; Artiodactyla; Camelidae. The record is from Rfam by way of RNAcentral. RNAcentral also lists the same sequence under 2 other names.
AGGGUAAUAGCUCAGUGGUAGAGCACAUGCUUAGCAUGCACUAGGUCCUGGGUUCAAUCCCCAGUACCUCCA